RNAcentral lists this ribosomal RNA (497 nucleotides) under uncultured bacterium. Its description in RNAcentral is "partial 16S ribosomal RNA". It matches the Rfam family "Bacterial small subunit ribosomal RNA", at positions 28 to 507 of the family's 1533-position model. The record is from RNAcentral.
GAUGAACGCUGGCGGCGUGCCUAAUACAUGCAAGUCGAGCGAACAGACGAGGAUCUUGCUCCUCUUACGUUAGCGGCGGACGGGUGAGUAACACGUGGAUAACCUACCUAUAAGACUGGGAUAACUUCGGGAAACCGGAGCUAAUACCGGAUAACAUGUUGAACCGCAUGGUUCAACAGUGAAAGACGGUCUUGCUGUCACUUAUAGAUGGAUCAGCGCCGCAUUAGCUAGUUGGUAGGGUAACGGCUUACCAAGGCAACGAUGCGUAGCGGACCUGAGAGGGGGAGGGGGCACACUGGAACUGGGACACGGUCCAGACCCCUACGGGAGGCAGAGGUAGGGAAUCUUACGCAAUGGGCGAAAGCCUGACGGAGAAACGCCGCGUGAGUGAAGAAGGUGUUCGGGUCGUAAAACUCUGUUAUUAGGGAAGACCAAAUGUGUAAGUAACUAUGCACGUCUUGACGGUACCUAAUCAGAAAGCCACGGCUAACUACGUG